AUGGUGAUUCAGAAAGUGGGAAAAUCUGCAUACAAACUACAGCUGCCAAGUACAGUGCAAAUACAUCCUGUUUUUCAUGUUAGUUAGUUAAAACGGCAUGUGGGUGACAAAUCAAUCACUGGUCCCAAUCUACCCAUGGUAAAAUCUGAUGGUACGGUAAAGGUAGGACCAGAAGAAGUUCUGUAGGUUCGCCAAGUUCCUCCAUAGAAUGCACCAGUAGUUCGGUGGUUAAUCAAGUGGAUCAACCUGCCCGCGGAAGAUGUGACUUGGGAAGAUGCGGAUUUCAUCAAGUACACAUUCCCGGAGUUCUUCAGUACAACUACGCGCGCGUGGAGAGAAGCGGCAGCAGUGUCGUGA
RNAcentral lists this ribosomal RNA (357 nucleotides) under Triticum aestivum (bread wheat). Its description in RNAcentral is "partial small subunit ribosomal RNA". The record is from RNAcentral. Lineage: Eukaryota; Viridiplantae; Streptophyta; Magnoliopsida; Poales; Poaceae.